RNAcentral lists this ribosomal RNA (619 nucleotides) under Filobasidium magnum. RNAcentral's name for it is "eukaryotic LSU rRNA". It matches the Rfam family "Eukaryotic large subunit ribosomal RNA", at positions 67 to 668 of the family's 3401-position model. The record is from RNAcentral. Lineage: Eukaryota; Fungi; Basidiomycota; Tremellomycetes; Filobasidiales; Filobasidiaceae.
AAAAGGGGUUUUCCCCCUUAGUUACGGCGAGUGAAGCGGGAAGAGCUCAAAUUUGAAAUCUGGUGGCCUCAGGUCAUCCGAGUUGUAAUCUAUAGAAGUGUUUUCCGUGCUGGCUCAUGUACAAGUCCCUUGGAACAGGGCGUCAUAGAGGGUGAGAAUCCCGUCCUUGACAUGAACUACCAGUGCUCUGUGAUACAUUUUCAACGAGUCGAGUUGUUUGGGAAUGCAGCUCAAAAUGGGUGGUAAAUUCCAUCUAAAGCUAAAUAUUGGCGAGAGACCGAUAGCGAACAAGUACCGUGAGGGAAAGAUGAAAAGCACUUUGGAAAGAGAGUUAAACAGUAUGUGAAAUUGUUGAAAGGGAAACGAUUGAAGUCAGUCGUGCUCUUUGGAUUCAGCCGGUUCUGCCGGUGUACUUCCUUUGAGUGGGGUCAACAUCAGUUUUGAUCGCUGGAUAAAGGCUGGAGGAACGUAGUACCCUCGGGUAAACUUAUAGCCUCCUGUCACAUACAGUGGUUGGGACUGAGGAACGCAGCACGCCUUUAUGGCCGGGAUUCGUCCACGUACGUGCUUAGGAUGUUGACAUAAUGGCUUUAAACGACCCGUCUUGAAACACGGACCA